This is a long non-coding RNA of Dendroctonus ponderosae (mountain pine beetle), 855 nucleotides long. RefSeq lists it as uncharacterized. Lineage: Eukaryota; Metazoa; Arthropoda; Insecta; Coleoptera; Curculionidae. The transcript is spliced from 3 exons. The record is from RefSeq and is a predicted model, not a curated record.
UUUUUGAUCAAAAUGCUGAAAAUCGUUAUAAAUAUACUAUUGAAAUUAUAUUUGUCGUCGUUUCAGCCACGUUUAGCAGACAGUAACGUCGCUUUAAUAAUAUACAGUACUAGUCACCUACCAGUUCUUAUCGAUUUUCCAAAAUGCCUAGAGGUUGUGGAGCAAGUAGACCUCGAAAAUGCACGUCGAAAAAACCAGUUCAAAAAUGUUCCACCAAAAAAUUGACUGCUAAAAAAACGGUUCCAAAAAAGCCAGCGUCUUCGCGAUGCUGCUCAUCAGGAUGUGGAACGAAAGUUGUCAGAAAGGCACCGGCAAAAAAAUCCAAUGUAAAUUGUAGACGUGGAUGUAGAGACUGGUCAUCUUCUGAUUGCUCAUCUGACUAUUCCAGCGACUCGUCUGAUUACGAUAGCUGCACCAGCUGCUGCAGUUCAGACUAUUCCAGCGACGAUUGCUGCUGCUCUAGACGAUAAUUUUUGCCGACAUUUGGAAGAGCAGUUAGUUUCGCUGGAGAGUUUGUGAAACUGUGCGUUAUUGAGUGGAUUUCGGGCGCUGGACGUCUAAAGUUUUACAAUUGAAUAAAAAAAAAUACUUUUUAGUGUUUUGUUAAUUUUUGUACUAUUUUAUAUCACUUUCUGUGCUUUGUAUUUUUUUUAAUUUGUUCAUACUUCAUAUACAGUGUGGUUCAAAUGACGCCACUUUAGAACCUCUCUGUAUAUAAAUAACUCACAUGCAUGUUUAAUAGUGUGUAGGUUUUUGUAUGCUAUGAAACCCGUACGGAAAAUUUUUAUUUUAUAAGCGGUUUUAAUACCAUCAGUUAUCUGUCAUUAUUAUUAUUAUAGCAUUAUUAUCAUUAAA